Molecule: ribosomal RNA, 880 nt
Filed under: Amphilochida sp. NZTWB
Lineage: Eukaryota; Metazoa; Arthropoda; Malacostraca; Amphipoda
Description: partial large subunit ribosomal RNA
Rfam family: Eukaryotic large subunit ribosomal RNA
Source: RNAcentral
AGUGGCGACGAAGGGGAUGAGCCCAGCGCAUAACCUCCCGGGCCACCUAGCCUGCGGCGGAAUGUUGCGUUAAGGGAAAGGUCGUUUCAAAGCCCUGUGCUCCGUGCUCCUAAGCAUGGCCUGAAUAUCCACUGCUUCCCAACGGAAGUAACGGCUCCAUGGAGGGUGACAGACCCGUAUGGGCACGUGGACUGCACAUGGGUUCGGCUUUUUUCCCUGAGAGUCGCGUUGCUUGAGCAUGCAGCGCUAAGCAGGUCGUAAACUCGACCUAAGGCUAAAUAUUUCCACAGAACCGAUAGUAAACAAGUACCGUGAGGGAAAGUUGAAAAGCACUCUGAAGAGAGAGUCAAAAGACCGUGAAACCGCUUAGAGUAUAAGCCGAUGGUAUUCGGAAGGUUGGGUCCGCACCUAACUGGGCUACUCUUUUGAGGCAGACUGGCCACGGUGUAACGUUUGUGAUAAAGAUCAGAAGGCUGGAGUGGCAUCGAACCAAGAGUGGCAUUGAGUUGAUAUCACGCCGAAUAUAACUUGCGGGGCUCUGACAGUGGUAACAGGGAAGGUUCUAAAGAGGAUCCGACCCGAGGCUGGCCUUUUGCAAGCUCCGGCUGCUAGUCACAUGAACGAGUGGACUACACACAACCCACCACAACUCCUUACAAGGUCACCCACGUGCGACAUGGCUUGGCGUGGCGUCGUGCGCGUUCAGACAGCUCUUGGUCAUGUGUGUCGCAAGUAUCACGGCCCGCACUCGGUCGCACAAACCGAGCGGGUAGACCCUGAGCCGGCCGACGCUCCCAUGUCGAUUCCAGACGCGUGAUUGGUAUGAUCCUUCUGUGAGGGUUGCUUUUCUGACGGUCCAUAAACCUGGACGCUUUUCCCC